Molecule: long non-coding RNA, 668 nt
Filed under: Pongo abelii (Sumatran orangutan)
Lineage: Eukaryota; Metazoa; Chordata; Mammalia; Primates; Hominidae
Description: lincRNA
Source: RNAcentral
CAAUGAGCUGCCUGAAGGAUUCAGUGUCUUGGUGUUCACAAGGCCCCAGCACAUCGUCUAGGACGUGAGACCCACACGCCGCCCUGACGGCACCUCAGUCUCCUCAGUUCACUGUUUCCCCUGGGGAAACAACCGGGAGGGCCUGCAGGAAAACACAGCAAACUAGAAAGUCCAGUUGGAAGAGAUUUCAGAUGUGCUACAGCCUCUGCAGCAGGAGUGAAGCUGGACCUCCAGGCUCCUGAUGACACUGAGGACUGUGGAGCUGAGUGACACCAGCCGGCAGGAGAGGCUGCGGCCGGAAGCAGAGGCUCUGGCCGGACUCCGGGGAGCACCAGCGACUGAGAGGCCACAUGGCAGGCAGGGGUGGGGGUGGGGGCUGCCUGCCCACACACUCUUUACAGCAGAAGCAGUGACAUUUCCCUUGCUGUGCCCAUAGCAGGGACGGGCCCAUGGCAGGUGCUGUGAGCAUAUGCUUGCCAGGUUCCUGAUGCGGAGCACAGCCAGCCCAGAGGGCCACAUUCUUGUCACUGCCCUUUGGAGACGCAGCUCAUGCCAAGCCCCUCACACCCCUCCCUGGGCUAUAACUUUGUGCUGCCUCAGAUGUUCAGGGUACUGUGCUUCAAGCCAUAUCAAAAGCUGGUUUGAAAAAUAAAGUCCUAUAGAGGUGC